AUGGUGCUGGUUCGCUAUGGAGUCACCUUCCUCAUCGAGCACCCGCUACCACCCAACGCCCCGUCCCAUUACCUUGAGCUAGCCCAUGUUGUCUUGUGGAUCUAUGCCACCCUCUCCGACACCAUGUGCGAUCACGUCGUCGGCGCCACCACCACCUUCGCCCUCUGGCACAAGAUCAAGGACUAUUUCCUUGCCAACCGCGCCGCCCGAUUCAUGAUCCUCAACCGCCAGUACCGCAACCUCAAGCAGGGGGACCUCUCCAUCUCGGAGUAUGCGCGUCGCAUGAAGCAGCUCACCGAUGCCCUUGCCGACAUCGAGCACGGCGUCACAGAGGUGGAUCUCACCACACAGUUCCUGCACGGGCUCGACAAGCGUCUCGAAACAAUUCGGGUCGUCCUUGGCGAUCAGACGCUCCCCUUCGACACCGUUCUCUCCCGGGUCACCCUGGCAGAGGAGUCCCAGGCUCAGCGCGCGGCGGAGGAGAGCGCCUCGGCCUUCGCCAUGCUGGGUGGUGGCUCGUCGAGCGGCCCUUCCGGCGCCGGUGGACGCGCCCCCAAUGAUCGUGCCGAUCGGUCCUCCGGCACCAACUCCGAGCGC
This 597-nucleotide ribosomal RNA is filed under the name Triticum aestivum (bread wheat). Its description in RNAcentral is "partial small subunit ribosomal RNA". Lineage: Eukaryota; Viridiplantae; Streptophyta; Magnoliopsida; Poales; Poaceae. The record is from RNAcentral.